CUGCUGUGAGGAUAUCUGUGUUGUAGUGAUCGUGGGUCGAUCACAACCAUCGGAUCUUUCUGACGAGAUCAUGGCACUUCUAAGCUU
Benincasa hispida (wax gourd) is the source of this 87-nucleotide small nucleolar RNA. RefSeq annotates it as small nucleolar RNA snoR114. Lineage: Eukaryota; Viridiplantae; Streptophyta; Magnoliopsida; Cucurbitales; Cucurbitaceae. The record is from RefSeq and is a predicted model, not a curated record.